RNAcentral lists this ribosomal RNA (422 nucleotides) under uncultured bacterium. RNAcentral's name for it is "bacterial SSU rRNA". It matches the Rfam family "Bacterial small subunit ribosomal RNA", at positions 355 to 774 of the family's 1533-position model. The record is from RNAcentral.
UGAGGAAUAUUGGUCAAUGGGGGCAACCCUGAACCAGCCAAGUCGCGUGAAGGAUGAAGGUCUUAUGGAUUGUAAACUUCUUUUACACGGGAAUAAAGUGGGGGACGUGUCCCCCUUUGCAUGUACCGUGUGAAUAAGGAUCGGCUAACUCCGUGCCAGCAGCCGCGGUAAUACGGAGGAUCCGAGCGUUAUCCGGAUUUAUUGGGUUUAAAGGGUGCGCAGGCGGGAUGUUAAGUCGGCGGUGAAAUUUUGCAGCUCAACUGUAAAAGUGCCUUCGAUACUGGCCGUCUUGAGUGUGGAUGAAGUAGGCGGAAUUUGUGGUGUAGCGGUGAAAUGCUUAGAUAUCACGAGGAACUCCGAUUGCGCAGGCAGCUUACUAAGCCACAACUGACGCUCAUGCACGAAGGCGUGGGGAUCAAACA